Molecule: unclassified non-coding RNA, 341 nt
Filed under: soil metagenome
Description: partial contains 5.8S ribosomal RNA, internal transcribed spacer 2, and large subunit ribosomal RNA
Rfam family: 5.8S ribosomal RNA (bases 1-120)
Source: RNAcentral
GAUGAAGAACGCAGCGAAAUGCGAUAAGUAGUGUGAAUUGCAGAAUUCAGUGAAUCAUCGAAUCUUUGAACGCACAUUGCGCCCUUUGGUAUUCCAAAGGGCAUGCCUGUUCGAGCGUCAUUUGUACCCUCAAGCUUUGCUUGGUGUUGGGCGUCUUAUCUCUAGCUUUGCUGGAGACUCGCCUUAAAGUAAUUGGCAGCCGGCCUACUGGUUUCGGAGCGCAGCACAAGUCGCACUCUCUAUCAGCAAAGGUCUAGCAUCCAUUAAGCCUUUUUUUCAACUUUUGACCUCGGAUCAGGUAGGGAUACCCGCUGAACUUAAGCAUAUCAAUAAGCGGAGGA